AGCAGAAACAGUUGGGAAGCUGUUCCAAAGAGGGUGACAGGCCCGUAUGCGAAAUCUUGUACUCUCUAAUCAGGAUCCUGAGUACGGCCCAGCACGUGAAAUUGGGUCGGAAUCUGGGAGGACCAUCUCCCAAGGCUAAAUACUAACUAGUGACCGAUAGCGAACAAGUACCGUGAGGGAAAGGUGAAAAGAACCCCGGAAGGGGAGUGAAAUAGUUCUUGAAACCGUGUGCUUACAAGAAGUUCGAGGCCGUUAAUGGCUGAGAGCGUGCUUUUUGUAGAAUGAACCGGAGAGUUACGAUUGCGUGCAAGGUUAAGGUGCAAAGACUGGAGCCGUAGCGAAAGCGAGUCUUAAUAGGGCGAAUCAGUACGUAGUUGUAGACCCGAAACCGAGUGACCUAUCCAUGGUCAGGUUGAAGGUGGGGUAAUACCUACUGGAGGACCGAACAAGUGGGUGUUAAAAAACCCUUUGAUGAACUGUGGAUAGCGGUGAAAUUCCAAUCGAACUCGGAGAUAGCUGGUUCUAUCCGAAAUACAUUUAGGUGUAGCCUUGCAAUUAGCUUACUGGAGGUAGAGCACUAUUUGGUCUAGGGGCCCUUCAAGGGUUACCAAAAUCAGAUAAACUCCGAAUGCCAGCUAAGUAUGUGCAGGAGUCAGACGGUGAGUGAUAAGAUCCAUCGUCAAAAGGGGAACAGCCCAGAUCACCAGUUAAGGUCCCUAAAUAUAUGCUAAGUGGAAAACGUUGUGAAGGUGCAUAGACAACUAGGAGGUUGGCUCAGAAGCAGCCACCCUUUAAAGAGUGCGUAAUAGCUCACUAGUCAAGUGCUCUUGCGCGGAUAAUGUACCGGGGCUAAGCAUAUUACCGAAACUGUGGAUGCGUAAGCAUGGUAGGAUAGCGUAAUUAACGCGAUGAAGGAUGACCGUAAGGACAUGUUGGAGCGUUAACUAGUGAGAAUUCCGGUAUGAGUAGCGAAAGAUAGGUGAGAAUCCUAUCCACCGAAUGAGUAAGGUUUCCCCCGGAAGGCUCGUCCGCGGGGGGUUAGUCGGGACCUAAGGCGAGGCUGAAAAGCGUAGUCGAUGGACAACAGGUUGAUAUUCCUGUACCGAUAUUUAAUUGCCGAAGGAAGGACGCAGAAGGAUAACACAGGCCACUAUUGGAUGUGGUUUUAAACAGUUAGUCUUCAUAAGAG
This 1189-nucleotide ribosomal RNA is filed under the name Oenococcus oeni. Its description in RNAcentral is "bacterial LSU rRNA". It matches the Rfam family "Bacterial large subunit ribosomal RNA", at positions 331 to 1535 of the family's 2925-position model. The record is from RNAcentral. Lineage: Bacteria; Bacillati; Bacillota; Bacilli; Lactobacillales; Lactobacillaceae.